RNAcentral lists this transfer RNA (65 nucleotides) under Pygoluciola sp. 1 XHF-2022a. RNAcentral's name for it is "tRNA-Tyr". Lineage: Eukaryota; Metazoa; Arthropoda; Insecta; Coleoptera; Lampyridae. The record is from RNAcentral.
AGUAAAAUGACCGAGAAUUAGGUGAUAAAUUGUAAAUUUAUAAACGGAAAUUAUUCCCUUUACUA